This 505-nucleotide ribosomal RNA is filed under the name uncultured bacterium. RNAcentral's name for it is "partial 16S ribosomal RNA". It matches the Rfam family "Bacterial small subunit ribosomal RNA", at positions 28 to 507 of the family's 1533-position model. The record is from RNAcentral.
GACGAACGCUGGCGGCGUGCCUAAUACAUGCAAGUAGAACGCACAGUUUAUACCGUAGCUUGCUACACCAUAGACUGUGAGUUGCGAACGGGUGAGUAACGCGUAGGUAACCUGCCUGGUAGCGGGGGAUAACUAUUGGAAACGAUAGCUAAUACCGCAUAAUAUUGAUUAUUGCAUGAUAAUUGAUUGAAAGAUGCUAUUGCAUCACUACCAGAUGGACCUGCGUUGUAUUAGCUAGUAGGUGAGGUAACGGCUCACCUAGGCGACGAUACAUAGCCGACCGGAGAGGGGGAGCGGCCACACUGGGACUGAGACACGGCCCAGACUCCUACGGGAGGCAGCAGUAGGGAAUCUUCGGCAAUGGACGAAAGUCUGACCGAGCAACGCCGCGUGAGUGAAGAAGGUUUUCGGAUCGUAAAGCUCUGUUGUAAGAGAAGAACGGGUGUGAGAGUGGAAAGUUCACACUGUGACGGUAUCUUACCAGAAAGGGACGGCUAACUACGUG